AGCUUGCUAAGGCCGAUGGCGACCGGCGCACGGGUGAGUAACACGUAUCCAACCUGCCGUCUACUCUUGGACAGCCUUCUGAAAGGAAGAUUAAUACAAGAUGGCAUCAUGAGUCCGCAUGUUCACAUGAUUAAAGGUAUUCCGGUAGACGAUGGGGAUGCGUUCCAUUAGAUAGUAGGCGGGGUAACGGCCCACCUAGUCUUCGAUGGAUAGGGGUUCUGAGAGGAAGGUCCCCCACAUUGGAACUGAGACACGGUCCAAACUCCUACGGGAGGCAGCAGUGAGGAAUAUUGGUCAAUGGGCGAGAGCCUGAACCAGCCAAGUAGCGUGAAGGAUGACUGCCCUAUGGGUUGUAAACUUCUUUUAUAAAGGAAUAAAGUCGGGUAUGCAUACCCGUUUGCAUGUACUUUAUGAAUAAGGAUCGGCUAACUCCGUGCCAGCAGCCGCGGUAAUACGGAGGAUCCGAGCGUUAUCCGGAUUUAUUGGGUUUAAAGGGAGCGUAGAUGGAUGUUUAAGUCAGUUGUGAAAGUUUGCGGCUCAACCGUAAAAUUGCAGUUGAUACUGGAUAUCUUGAGUGCAGUUGAGGCAGGCGGAAUUCGUGGUGUAGUGGUGAAAUGCUUAGAUAUCACGAAGAACUCCGAUUGCGAAGGCAGCCUG
Molecule: ribosomal RNA, 657 nt
Filed under: uncultured Bacteroidales bacterium
Lineage: Bacteria; Pseudomonadati; Bacteroidota; Bacteroidia; Bacteroidales
Description: bacterial SSU rRNA
Rfam family: Bacterial small subunit ribosomal RNA
Source: RNAcentral